GUGCUUAUUUCAGCAGCACAAAUACUAAAACUGGAACAAAACAUAGAGAAGAUUAGCAUGGCCCCUGUGCAAGGAUGACAAAACACAUAAACUCGUGAAGCAUUCCAUAUUUUU
This is a small nuclear RNA of Cavia aperea (Brazilian guinea pig), 114 nucleotides long. The record is from Ensembl. NCBI's taxonomy places the organism in Eukaryota, Metazoa, Chordata, Mammalia, Rodentia, Caviidae.